Molecule: non-coding RNA, 520 nt
Organism: Camelina sativa (false flax)
Lineage: Eukaryota; Viridiplantae; Streptophyta; Magnoliopsida; Brassicales; Brassicaceae
Source: RefSeq, a predicted model, not a curated record
AAGCUCGAUUUUAUUUAUUUUCCCCUCUCUCUCUCUCGCGAUCGAAUUCCCGAAACGCCGUGUGAUAUGUAAUCGAUGGAUUUGGAAUCAGGAGAAGGUUGAAGCCAUAGUUGGAGAUUUGGAGAUGGAUGCGAUUUCAAGUUGGAGUCGAAAUAAUCGGAAGAGAUUGAAUCAAUUGGAAUCACAAGGAGGUGUCUCUACGGAUUCAAUUGAAUAUGCAGAAGAAACAGGAAUUUUCUGAGUACAGAGAGAGGCUUAACGAGACCAUGACAAUGCUUAGAUCUAUCUUGAUGGUAAUGUUGUUCGUCACACUUGUUACAGCCAUUUCCAUGGUGUCCUCUUCUGCUUCAUCAUCGGAAGCCGAGUUUGUUCAGAAGACCAUCUCUUCCCACAAGAUCGUCAUCUUCUCCAAAUCCUACUGCCCCUAUUGCAGGAAAGCUAAAUCUGUCUUCAGAGAGCUGGAUCAAGUUCCUUAUGUUGUCACAGAAGAAGGUUGAAGCCACUGAAUCAUUGACUGUUG